This 79-nucleotide unclassified non-coding RNA is filed under the name Pseudomonas koreensis. The record is from RNAcentral. Lineage: Bacteria; Pseudomonadati; Pseudomonadota; Gammaproteobacteria; Pseudomonadales; Pseudomonadaceae.
UGUAGGAGCUGCGGCACGCUGCGAUCUUUUGAUCUUGAUUGUUAAGAUCAAAAGAUCGCAGCGUGCCGCAGCUCCUACA